RNAcentral lists this long non-coding RNA (478 nucleotides) under Monodelphis domestica (gray short-tailed opossum). Its description in RNAcentral is "lncRNA (ENSMODG00000037919.1)". Lineage: Eukaryota; Metazoa; Chordata; Mammalia; Didelphimorphia; Didelphidae. The record is from RNAcentral.
AUGGCACAGUGAUGUGGAAUACAGUUAUCUCUGAAGAAUUAAAAAUGAUCACCAUGCAGGAAAAAAGGAAUGACUCUCAGCAGCUUCCAAAUGGACUAUUGCAACGAGUCCAACUGAAGACUGUGAUGCCUUUGUACGCAUGCCCUCCUUAACCCAGCCGGAUCAUUUUAAAGCUUCUCAUGGCUUCUGAUCUGCAAAAUGAGGAGAUGGAAGGUGAUUUCUGAGGUCUUUCCCAGCCAGGAGUACUCUGGAUCUGUAGCAUCAAUUGCUGAAAUAGAUUCUCCAGAGGCUGUUUCUUCUCGACUCAUUCAAGCACCAAGAGCAGAAGCCUUUCUUGGCUGCUGGUCUCAGGGCACCUCUGCCUCUUAUGUUCCCUGGAACUACAGCUUGGGGUGAAGACAAUUUUCCUGGAAACACAUUCAUUUCAAACUGACUCUCUUCUAACCCCCCAAUAAAAGAAGGUAAUGUAUAGUGACCA